Molecule: transfer RNA, 78 nt
Filed under: Actinoplanes digitatis
Lineage: Bacteria; Bacillati; Actinomycetota; Actinomycetes; Micromonosporales; Micromonosporaceae
Description: tRNA-Gly
Source: RNAcentral
AUCGUGCUGGGCCGGCGGUGGGUCGAGGACCCGCUGCCGGCGGAUCCGACGCGCCCGUUCGACACCGGCGGCGCGGUG